UGCAGAGGCCUCGAGCGUUAGGCGGAAUCACUGGGCUUAAAGCGUGUGUAGGCGGAUUGGUAAGUACCUUGUGAAAUCCCACAGCUUAACUGUGGAACUGCUCGGUAUACUGCUGGUCUUGAGCCACUCAGGGGCUACCGGAACAAAUGGUGGAGCGGUGAAAUGCGUAGAUAUCAUUUGGAACGCCAAUGGUGAAAACAGGUAGCUGGGGGUGUGCUGACGCUGAGACACGAAAGCCAGGGGAGCAAACGGG
This 253-nucleotide ribosomal RNA is filed under the name uncultured bacterium. RNAcentral describes it as "partial 16S ribosomal RNA". It matches the Rfam family "Bacterial small subunit ribosomal RNA", at positions 524 to 776 of the family's 1533-position model. The record is from RNAcentral.